Molecule: non-coding RNA, 90 nt
Filed under: Harryflintia acetispora
Lineage: Bacteria; Bacillati; Bacillota; Clostridia; Eubacteriales; Oscillospiraceae
Description: yjdF RNA
Rfam family: azaaromatic riboswitch aptamer (yjdF RNA)
Source: RNAcentral
GCAGAGAUAAAAACACGUAAGCCGGUUGGUAGUCCGGCGCCGCAAUAGCGGUCAGUAACCUGCCUCCUAGGGUUGUCCGUUCUCUGUAGG